This 468-nucleotide ribosomal RNA is filed under the name uncultured bacterium. RNAcentral's name for it is "partial 16S ribosomal RNA". It matches the Rfam family "Bacterial small subunit ribosomal RNA", at positions 28 to 507 of the family's 1533-position model. The record is from RNAcentral.
GACGAACGCUAGCGGCGUGCUUAACACAUGCAAGUCGAACGGAACGGCCUUGCUUUUGUGGGGUGCUCGAGUGGCGAACGGGUGAGUAACACGUGAGUAACCUGCCCUUGACUUUGGGAUAACUUCCGGAAACAGGGGCUCAUACCGGCUAGGAGCUCCUGCUGCAUGGUGGGGGUUGGUAAGUUUCGGCGGUUGGGGAUGGACUGGCGGCUUAUCAGCUGGUUGGUGGGGUAGUGGCUUACCAAGUCUUUGACGGGUAGCCGGCCUGGGAGGGUGACCGGCCACAUGGGGACUAAGGGACGGCCCAGUCGCCUACAGGAGGCAACAGUGGGGAAUAUUACACAAUGGGCGGAAGCCUGAGGCAGCAGCGCCGCGGGCGGGAUGACGGCCUUCGGGUUGUGAACCGCUGUCGCCUGUUACGAAGCGGGAGUGACGGUAAUGGGUAAAGAAGCACCGGCUAACUACGUG